CGAGAGUUUCUUUUUUGCUUU
Molecule: non-coding RNA, 21 nt
Filed under: Arabidopsis thaliana (thale cress)
Lineage: Eukaryota; Viridiplantae; Streptophyta; Magnoliopsida; Brassicales; Brassicaceae
Source: RNAcentral